Long non-coding RNA from Monopterus albus (swamp eel), 1238 nucleotides. RefSeq lists it as uncharacterized. The transcript has 4 exons. The record is from RefSeq and is a predicted model, not a curated record. Lineage: Eukaryota; Metazoa; Chordata; Actinopteri; Synbranchiformes; Synbranchidae.
AGAAGAAGAAACGUCUCUUCCUCUGUCUUCUGUGGUGAUAAAGUGACCUCUGUUGCUAGCUGUUAGCCUCCUCUACAACGAUGGUUCCUCCGGUUGCAGUGUCGCCUUUGAUUAAGACAGCCAGGUAUUCAGCUUUGAUUGCUGGAGUCAUCUAUGGCAAAAGGCGAUAUGACUACCUGAAGCCAAUAGCAGCUGAGGAGAGGAGGAUUGAGGAAGAGGAGAAAAAGAUCCGUGAGGAGCAGGAGCGCAUUGCCAAGCAACUAGCAGAAGCAAGUGAAGACACCAUUCUGAAGUGAAGCUGAUGUGCUGUGUGAAGAUCCUGACGUCCAAACUCCAAACCUCUCCCUCCGUUUUCUGGAGCAACAAUGGCAAUGUUUGAUCACAGCCAAUCUAACAGUCCCAUGUUCUGGAUGUGUUCACUGUUGUGUUGAAUGUUGCCAGAUCCAAUGAUUUAAAGUUAAUUACGUGAUAUGAAAAAAAGCAUUGUAAUACUGCAAAUACAGCUGUACCAAUAUAUUAAGUUCAUGUUUGUAAUGAAGCAGUCAUAAAUACAGAAGUACACAACCUCUGUAGUUUUUGUUUACCAGCAUAUGGUAUUUGACUAUGAUCGGUUUGUUACAGCACAGAUUAGACCGAUCUAAUAUCACAGCAGCUUCUUGUUUCAUAAUUAAAAAUGUUAUUCACAUUAGUCAUCAUAUAAAAUGCGAGGUUUUCAUUUGUCCCACAUUUUAUCCUCGGAUGAUUCUACAUUGCUUCCUACUUGCAAACACCUUUGUAGAUCUCAUUAGAAUGAAUACAGAUCUAAUUUAUUGUAUUGACUUAUUUACAAGCAGGUACAUAGGUGUCAUAAAACAAAUCUCUCCAAGACUUCAAAUAGUAUUUUAUCAAUAUUUUUAUGGAAAAGGCACUGAAGGAGUUUGGUGACUUUGUAUACAGGUCAGUGUUUAACUUCUCCCUGCUGAGUUACUCAUGUUGAAAUUGUACAUAUGAUGAUGAUGGAAAAACACUAGAUGCAGCCAUAAUACACCUGCCAUGUGAUCAUUUUGUUGGCUUGAGCCUGGACGUGUGUUCACGUUAUUACUAGAACAACAGUGCCAGGGCUGACUGAAAGUACAGCUGGACUUGCCGACAUGCCAUUUGUCUAGACUUACUGUAGCUUUCACUACUGUAGUUAGGAAACAUUCUCUUCUCAAGACUGGUGAGGGGAACUUAAAUGUGUGUGGUGAAUGGGAUUUUUU